RNAcentral lists this unclassified non-coding RNA (309 nucleotides) under plant metagenome. RNAcentral describes it as "partial contains 5.8S ribosomal RNA, internal transcribed spacer 2, and large subunit ribosomal RNA". The stretch from base 1 to 105 matches the Rfam family "5.8S ribosomal RNA", at positions 50 to 154 of the family's 154-position model. The record is from RNAcentral.
GAAAUGCGAUAAGUAGUGUGAAUUGCAGAAUUCAGUGAAUCAUCGAAUCUUUGAACGCACAUUGCGCCCCUUGGUAUUCCAUGGGGCAUGCCUGUUCGAGCGUCAUUUGUACCCUCAAGCUCUGCUUGGUGUUGGGUGUUUGUCCCGUCUCCGCGCGUGGACUCGCCCCAAAGUGAUUGGCAGCCGGCGUACUGGUCCCGGAGCGCAGCACAUGUCGCGCAAACGAGUGCCUUGGUACGGCGGCGUCCAUAAGCCCCUCUCUCACGCUCUUGACCUCGGAUCAGGUAGGGAUACCCGCUGCACUUAAGC